This 283-nucleotide unclassified non-coding RNA is filed under the name Hevea brasiliensis (rubber tree). The record is from RNAcentral. Lineage: Eukaryota; Viridiplantae; Streptophyta; Magnoliopsida; Malpighiales; Euphorbiaceae.
GCACCACUCGCCUGAACAACACUAGUACUGGAGUAUGACUUAGGGGAAACCCGCCUUGAAUUUAGAGAAAAUGCAACGAAAUAUGGGGAAAUUGAGAGAGACGAAGAGAGCGAAGAAGAAGGGAAUUUAAGUGAAAUUCGGGAAACAGGGGAGAUUGAUGGAGUUGAAGAAGAAUUGAAAGAUGAAGAAGAAGAAUGUAGAAGAGAGGAUGAAGAAGCAAGAGUAGCCAUUGAUAGAGAGUUGAUGGAAAUUUUCGGGUUGAUUUUACGAGAGCCAGAAAAUU